AGCUCCAAUAGCGUAUAUUAAAGUUGCUGCGGUUAAAAAGCUCGUAGUUGUACCUAAGUCCAUGAAAGGCGGUUCACUUGGUUGGUGCUUCUGCCUUCUCACUGGACAGACAGUCGAUUUGUGCGGCGAUCCUCUUCACCGAGUGUUUCCGCCGAUCGAUAACUUUACUUUGAAAAAAUUAGAGUGCUCAAAGCAGGCUAUUGGCCUGAAUAUUCUUGCAUGGAAUAAUGGAAUAGGACCCAGGUUCUAUUCUGUUGGUCUUUCGAACCUUGGUAAUGAUUAACAGGGACAGACGGUGGUAUUCGUAUUGCGGCGCUAGAGGUGAAAUUCUUGGACCGUCGCAAGACGAACAACAGCGAAAGCAUUUGCCAAGAAUGUUUUCA
Molecule: ribosomal RNA, 383 nt
Filed under: uncultured eukaryote
Lineage: Eukaryota
Description: SSU rRNA
Rfam family: Eukaryotic small subunit ribosomal RNA
Source: RNAcentral